GGAGUCGGCCAGACAGUCGCGUCAUCGCCGCGCAAGCGGGGGUGCCGAGGAAAGUCCGGGCUCCACAGGGUGCGAUGCCAGGUAACGCCUGGGCGGCGCGAGCCGACGGAAAGUGCAACAGAAAGAUACCGCCGGGUGCUGAAAAUGCCCCGGUAAGGGUGAAAUGGUGCGGUAAGAGCGCACCGCGAAUCCGGCAACGGAUCGGCACGGCAAACCCCAUCGGGAGCAAGACCAAAUAGGCAGCCAUGGCGUGACCCGCGUCGGCUGCGGGUAGGUUGCUGGAGCCAUGCAGCGAUGCAUGGCCGAGAGGAAUGACUGUCCACGACAGAACCCGGCUUACCGGCCGACUCCGCCA
This 355-nucleotide RNase P RNA is filed under the name Pseudomonadota bacterium. RNAcentral describes it as "RNase P RNA component class A". It matches the Rfam family "Bacterial RNase P class A". From Rfam's summary of the family: Ribonuclease P (RNase P) is a ubiquitous endoribonuclease, found in archaea, bacteria and eukarya as well as chloroplasts and mitochondria. Its best characterised activity is the generation of mature 5'-ends of tRNAs by cleaving the 5'-leader elements of precursor-tRNAs. The record is from RNAcentral. Lineage: Bacteria; Pseudomonadati; Pseudomonadota.